RNAcentral lists this unclassified non-coding RNA (324 nucleotides) under soil metagenome. RNAcentral describes it as "partial contains 5.8S ribosomal RNA, internal transcribed spacer 2, and large subunit ribosomal RNA". The stretch from base 1 to 120 matches the Rfam family "5.8S ribosomal RNA", at positions 35 to 154 of the family's 154-position model. The record is from RNAcentral.
GAUGAAGAACGUAGCGAAAUGCGAUAAGUAGUGUGAAUUGCAGAAUUCAGCGAAUCAUCGAAUCUUUGAACGCACAUUGCGCCCCUUGGUAUUCCAUGGGGCAUGCCUGUUCGAGCGUCAUUUGUACCUUCAAGCUUUGCUUGGUGUUGGGUGUUUGUCCUGAGGGACUCGCCUUAAAGUAAUUGGCAGCCAGUGUUUUGGUUUUGAAGCGCAGCACAAGUCGCGAUUCAAGGCUAUACGCCAGCUUCCACAAGCCUUUUUCACUUUUGACCUCGGAUCAGGUAGGGAUACCCGCUGAACUUAAGCAUAUCAAUAAGCGGAGGA